RNAcentral lists this ribosomal RNA (138 nucleotides) under Schistocerca interrita. Its description in RNAcentral is "partial 12S ribosomal RNA". Lineage: Eukaryota; Metazoa; Arthropoda; Insecta; Orthoptera; Acrididae. The record is from RNAcentral.
GGCUCGGAGGUGUGUACACAUCGCCCCGUCGCUCUCAUUAUGGAUUAUUCUAUUUUAUUAUUUUAAAGGAGCUCCAAUUUAGAUGAGAUAAGUCGUAACAUAGUAGAUGUACNGGAAAGUGUAUCUAGGAAGAGUUUC